RNAcentral lists this long non-coding RNA (532 nucleotides) under Linum usitatissimum (flax). Its description in RNAcentral is "long non-coding RNA (LUSI_LNC003631)". The record is from RNAcentral. Lineage: Eukaryota; Viridiplantae; Streptophyta; Magnoliopsida; Malpighiales; Linaceae.
UCUGAAGUAUGGGCUGGCGCCAAAAUCUUGGACAGACUACCUGCAUUUGACUGUUGGAGGUACUUUGUCCAAUGCCGGGAUCAGCGGGCAGGCUUUUCGACAUGGACCUCAAAUAAGUAAUGUUCAUCACCUGGAAGUCAUUACAGGUAAAUCAAGAAGUGGAACUGCAAACUAAUAAGGCACAAAACUGAAAACCACCAUGCAAUAGUAAUUACUUAUGUCACGGUCAUAUUGAACAUUGCAGUAGAACCGUGUUCUAGUAGCGGUUCCUCCGCAUACUGGUGCUUACUGAUUUCCAAUGUGUAUAAAAGUUCAAAUAUAUAUUGCAUGUGUAACAUAUGAAAUGUAUAUUGCAUGUAACAUGUUUACAACAUAUAAUCUUAACUGAAAUUGACCUACCUCUAUGCAGGAAAAGGGGAGGUACUUAAUUGCUCAGAGAAACAGAAUGAAGAUCUCUUUCACAGCGUUCUUGGAGGACUUGGUCAGUUUGGCAUCAUAACACGUGCAAGAAUAUCACUGGAACCAGCACCAG